UUGGUGAUAGGUUAACUCUAGAGGCCCCUCCCCCUGAUCCUCCCUGUCUGUCUCCUUAUAGGUGGGUCCUGCAGCCUCUCCUCUCCUCACACUCCAACCCUGCUCAUCUCUCAGCUGGACAGUAAGGGCCGUUCACACCUCACACUGACAACAUGCUGGGGACACUCUGCACUCUCUUCACUGCUCUAACAUAUGUCAGUUGCCAGAAAGCAGUGACACAGACACCUUCAGUACUGACUGUCAGUACAAAGGGGACUGCUACUUUUCACUGUGACAUCACCAAAGAUGAAG
This is a non-coding RNA of Oncorhynchus tshawytscha (Chinook salmon), 291 nucleotides long. The record is from the annotation of a RefSeq genome assembly. NCBI's taxonomy places the organism in Eukaryota, Metazoa, Chordata, Actinopteri, Salmoniformes, Salmonidae.